Mustela lutreola (European mink) is the source of this 1771-nucleotide long non-coding RNA. RefSeq lists it as uncharacterized. NCBI's taxonomy places the organism in Eukaryota, Metazoa, Chordata, Mammalia, Carnivora, Mustelidae. The transcript has 8 exons. The record is from RefSeq and is a predicted model, not a curated record.
GCCAUUUCCGCCUCUCGCUCACCUGGUCCUGCCUCUUGGCUCCACCCAUUACCUCCAGGUGUGGGAGGACGCUCCGGGGCCGGCCCUUGCCGCGGGAGCGCUGCCUUCACGGUACUCUCUCGGUGCAAACCCUCAAGUGUCUAUAGUGUACUCUUGUGCACCUAGCGAUUUGCUCCUCAAAGGAGUCUCCGGAGAGAGAAGAGGCAAACAUUGCUAGAGAUCGAUCACAACUAGGCAGAGAGGCGGGGAAAGCAGGCUCCCCGCUGAGCAGGGAGCUCGAUGCCGCACUUGAGGCUCGGUUUAAUCCUAGGAUCCCAAGACCAACCUGAGCUGAAGGCAGAGGCUUAACCGAGCCACCCAGCCUACAUUUUGUGUAUCCACUCCACUGUGGAUGGACGUUGAGGUGAUUCUGCCCUUGUUGGAUGUUGUGAGUGGUGCUGAGAGGAACCGCCAGACUGUUUCAGCAGUGGUUGCAGCGUUUCACAUUCCCACCAGCAGACCAUGAGGGUUCCGGUUUCUCCACAGUCCUUGUGAACAAGUAUUCCCUGCCCCAUCCCCGGCCUUUUAGCACAGUUCAUAUCCUCUCUCCAGCUGCCUGGAUGUUGACAGACAAAAGCUGCUCAACUGAAAAGCCCUUCAUAGGAGCCUCAAAGCUAGAAGCUCCUCCGCCUAGUGCCCAGUAUCCUGGAACAGCUCGCAAAAGCUCCAGCACCAUCAUUAGAAAGAAGAUGAACCACAACCAUCAACUCCCUCAUCAUCUCAUCACUUCUCGGCCUUUGGGCUAAGCUCAAGCGUCCGCUGUGCCCCUGGGUUCUCAAGAGUUCAGGAGAAGCUAUGCUUUGAAGUAUCCCACGCCAUCCAGACAAGCCUAGAGCAGGUAAGCACGGAGGACUCCCCAAGGAAUGGAGAGAAAUGGCCCCUGAAAGAGUAAAUAAAGGCCCCAAGCUCCCCUAACUCUAAAGUCUGCACAAAAUAAGGUCAAAUCAUGGUAACUUGGAACUACCUGGGUUCUCCUGCUUCAUUUAAAUGUGAGGAAAGCUGUCUGAGGGGACAGUCAGCUCCCAUUUCUCGCCAUCUGCCAUGUCUACUGCCUCUAGUUUUGCCUUUACUUACUUUAUAUCUUCCCCAUAGCAGAUAGUGGUGUCUUCAGUCAGAAGUUCACAUGCAAAUCCUAUAUUUUCAGCAGUUUCUACAACAGAAAAAUAUUAAGUGAGGGUAUGUGUUGUAGUGAGUGCUGUGUAUUAUGUAAGACUGAUGAAUCACAGACCUGUAUCCCUGAAACAGGUAUAUAAUAUAUAACAUUAUAUGUUAAUAAAAAAUAAAAAUACAAAAAAAAUCUAAAAAUAAAUAAAAUUUAAAAAUUAAGUGUUGUUCCAGUUGAUGAAUGAUGGAGUUUAGCUAGUAAUGAGACUUUUUUUUUCAAGUCAUGAAAUAGAUUCAAGCCAGUAUGCUCUUUUUUCUGUGAUAAAAUAAGUGAAGCCACUUAUUUUUUAUAACUUUUCAGUUAUAAAAAGAACUGUAUCAUCAAACACAUGAACUGGUUAUUUAAUAAAUCAGUGUUCACUGAAGUACUAAGCAGUCAGUUCCUGUGGUUUAAUCAUUCUGUUAUAGAAGAAAAGAAAAGAUAACUAUUUCUACAAACCUUUACACAGGGCUCCUACUGCAGAUCCCCCCCCCCCCUUUUUCCAUUACCACCCAUUGUUAUGUGUUUAAGGUCAGGACUUCCCUUAGCUUAUCAGAGUGUGUAACCCAUUAACAACGUAAGGUAAGA